UUUCCGUAGGUGAACCUGCGGAAGGAUCAUUAACGUGUUCGUUCGGCCGUUCGGGUCGGCCCUGCACCGACGGAGACGUCGUGCUGCGGGCUCCCGGACGCGCCUUCCAAACCAAACCCCUGUGAACCUUUGGGAGGGUCGAGCCUUCGCCGGCGACGCCGUCCCCUUUACAAACUCUUGUAUCUCAUAGAAUGACCGCGGACAUUGUCUGCCUAAACACAUAACAACUUUCAACAACGGAUCUCUUGGCUCUC
Molecule: unclassified non-coding RNA, 254 nt
Filed under: root metagenome
Description: partial contains small subunit ribosomal RNA, internal transcribed spacer 1, and 5.8S ribosomal RNA
Source: RNAcentral